RNAcentral lists this ribosomal RNA (484 nucleotides) under uncultured bacterium. RNAcentral describes it as "partial 16S ribosomal RNA". It matches the Rfam family "Bacterial small subunit ribosomal RNA", at positions 30 to 507 of the family's 1533-position model. The record is from RNAcentral.
AUUGAACGCUGGCGGAAUGCUUUACACAUGCAAGUCGAACGGCAGCACGGGGGCAACCCUGGUGGCGAGUGGCGAACGGGUGAGUAAUACAUCGGAACGUGCCCGGUCGUGGGGGAUAACGUAGCGAAAGUUACGCUAAUACCGCAUACGAUCUGAGGAUGAAAGCGGGGGACCUUCGGGCCUCGCGCGAUCGGAGCGGCCGAUGUCAGAUUAGGUAGUUGGUGGGGUAAAGGCCUACCAAGCCGACGAUCUGUAGCUGGUCUGAGAGGACGACCAGCCACACUGGGACUGAGACACGGCCCAGACUCCUACGGGAGGCAGCAGUGGGGAAUUUUGGACAAUGGGCGCAAGCCUGAUCCAGCCAUUCCGCGUGCAGGACGAAGGCCUUCGGGUUGUAAACUGCUUUUGUAUGGAACGAAAAGGCUCUGGCUAAUACCUGGGGCUCAUGACGGUACCGUAAGAAUAAGCACCGCCUAACUACGUG